CUACGGGGUGCUGCAGUGGGGAAUUUUGCGCAAUGGGGGAAACCCUGACGCAGCAAUACCGCGUGGGUGAAGAAGGCCUUUGGGUCGUAAAGCUCUUUUCUUGGGGAAGAUAGUGACGGUACCCAAGGAAUAAGCACCGGCUAACUCCGUGCCAGCAGCCGCGGUAAUACGGAGGGUGCAAGCGUUGUUCGGAUUUACUGGGCGUAAAGGGCACGUAGGCGGCACAGCAAGUUAAGGGUGAAAUCCCGGGGCUCAACUCCGGAACUGCUCUUAAAACUGCUGAGCUAGAGAUAGUCAGAGGCGGGUGGAAUUCCAGGUGUAGAGGUGAAAUUCGUAGAUAUCUGGAGGAACACCGGUGGCGAAGGCGGCCCGCUGGGGCUAUUCUGACGCUAAGGUGCGAAAGCGUGGGGAGCAAACGGGAUUAGAUACCCCAGUAGUC
Molecule: ribosomal RNA, 439 nt
Filed under: uncultured bacterium
Lineage: Bacteria
Description: partial 16S ribosomal RNA
Rfam family: Bacterial small subunit ribosomal RNA
Source: RNAcentral